AUCACAUGAUGAUUAAAUUACUCACCAUCUUUCGACUGAAAGACUAUUGAUGAUAUAUUUUUAAACUGAUUGGUU
This is a small nucleolar RNA of Cylas formicarius (sweet potato weevil), 75 nucleotides long. The record is from RefSeq and is a predicted model, not a curated record. NCBI's taxonomy places the organism in Eukaryota, Metazoa, Arthropoda, Insecta, Coleoptera, Brentidae.